UAGACGUAGGAGGAUGGAGCGUCGGUAAUAGGUGUGGUGCGUGGAUUAAGCAGAAGUACUGGGAGGAAAGCUGGCGCAAGCGUCGUCCUAAGUCAGAGGGGAAAGCCCCGGGCUUAACCUGGGAAUGGCGUUUGAGACUGGGUGGCUAGAGUGCGGCAGGGGGGGGUGGAAUUCCACGUGUAGCAGUGAAAUGCGGAGAGAGGUGGAGGAACACCGAUGGCGAAGGCAGCCCCCUGUGCCAGCACUGACGCUCAUGCACGAAAGCGUGGGGAGCAAACAGGAUUAGAUACCCCUGUAGUC
RNAcentral lists this ribosomal RNA (300 nucleotides) under uncultured Desulfurococcus sp. RNAcentral describes it as "bacterial SSU rRNA". It matches the Rfam family "Bacterial small subunit ribosomal RNA", at positions 498 to 795 of the family's 1533-position model. The record is from RNAcentral. Lineage: Archaea; Thermoproteati; Thermoproteota; Thermoprotei; Desulfurococcales; Desulfurococcaceae.